UACGGGGGGGGCAAGCGUUGUUCGGAAUUACUGGGCGUAAAGGGCUCGUAGGUGGCCAACUAAGUCCGACGUGAAAUCCCUCGGCUUAACCGGGGAACUGCGUCUGAUACUGGAUGGCUGGAGUAUGGGAGAGGGACGCGGAAUUCCAGGUGUAGCGGUGAAAUGCGUAGAUAUCUUGAGGAACACCGGUGGCGAAGGCGGCGUCCUGGACCAUUACUGACACUGAGGAACGAAAGCCAGGGGAGCAAACGGG
RNAcentral lists this ribosomal RNA (253 nucleotides) under uncultured bacterium. RNAcentral describes it as "partial 16S ribosomal RNA". It matches the Rfam family "Bacterial small subunit ribosomal RNA", at positions 524 to 776 of the family's 1533-position model. The record is from RNAcentral.